GGUCCUGUGGUAUAAGACAUGAUGGGUUGCAAAUCUGAGGGUGUGGGUUAACACCUGCCUGGGUUU
Molecule: transfer RNA, 66 nt
Filed under: Eurypharynx pelecanoides (pelican eel)
Lineage: Eukaryota; Metazoa; Chordata; Actinopteri; Anguilliformes; Eurypharyngidae
Description: tRNA-Cys
Source: RNAcentral